This 324-nucleotide small RNA is filed under the name Apophysomyces variabilis. RNAcentral's name for it is "eukaryotic LSU rRNA". It matches the Rfam family "Eukaryotic large subunit ribosomal RNA", at positions 52 to 368 of the family's 3401-position model. Lineage: Eukaryota; Fungi; Mucoromycota; Mucoromycetes; Mucorales; Mucoraceae. The record is from RNAcentral.
GGAGGAAAAGAAACUAACAAGGAUUCCCUCAGUAACGGCGAGUGAACAGGGAACAAGCUCAAAGUUGGAAUCUAUCUGGCUUAGCCAGAUCGAAUUGUAAACUUUAGAGUCGUUGUCCAGACCAGCCGAGUAAAUAAGUUCCUUGGAAUAGGACAUCAUGGAGGGUGAGAAUCCCGUCUUUGGCUUGAGCAUUGGUCUUUUGUGAUGCGACUUCAACGAGUCAGGUUGUUUGGGAAUGCAGCCUUAAUUGGGUGGUAAAUCUCACCUAAAGCUAAAUAUUGGCGAGAGACCGAUAGCGGACAAGUACCGUGAGGGAAAGAUGAA